CUCAAGGCGGAAGCGGCUGCCUGAAGGAACCGGCUCCCGAACGCCGCAAUGGCUGCGGGCGCGCCCUGUGCGUUGGUCACUAGCUGCUCCUCCACCUUCUCUGGGGACCGGCUGGUCCAACAUAUCCUUGGAACAGAAGAUCUUACUGUGGAAGUGACUUCCAAUGAUGCUGUGAGAUUCUAUCCCUGGACCAUUGAUAAUAAAUACUAUUCAGCGGACAUCAAUCUAUGUGUGGUACCAAACAAAUUUCUUGUUACUGCAGAGAUUGCAGAAUCUGUCCAAGCAUUUGUGGUUUACUUUGACAGCACACAAAAAUCAGGUCUUGAUAGUGUCUCCUCAUGGCUUCCACUGGCAGAAGCAUGGUUACCUGAGGUGAUGAUCUUGGUCUGUGAUAGAGUGUCAGAAGAUGGUAAGGCAUAUGGUUGGGAUAGUAGUUGGUACAUGCAUUUGCCAUUCCUUGGUAGACAGAGUACAUCUGUUUCCUUAACUUAGGACAGUACAUUCCAUGUGACUUUAUUGCUUUAUGAAAGUAUUUUCAGCUAUUUUUCUUUGGAA
RNAcentral lists this long non-coding RNA (555 nucleotides) under Cebus imitator (Panamanian white-faced capuchin). RNAcentral's name for it is "lncRNA (ENSCCAG00000038135.1)". The record is from RNAcentral. Lineage: Eukaryota; Metazoa; Chordata; Mammalia; Primates; Cebidae.